This 3735-nucleotide ribosomal RNA is filed under the name Triticum aestivum (bread wheat). Its description in RNAcentral is "partial small subunit ribosomal RNA". The record is from RNAcentral. Lineage: Eukaryota; Viridiplantae; Streptophyta; Magnoliopsida; Poales; Poaceae.
AUGCUCCUGGCCUCCUCGGUGCUGCGGGGUCGCCUCCGCCCCCUCCGCCGGCCCCGGCCCCUGAUCAUGCCCUCCCCUCUCUUCCUCUCCCGAAACCCUAGCCCCAGCACCAGCAGCAGCGCGAGCCCCCAACUCCCCUCGCCUUCCGCCAUGAGCACCAGCGGCGUCUACGUGCCGCCGAUGCGCCGGCUCCGCUCCGUCAUCGCGUCCACCAACGGGAACCUCGCGCCGCCGCCCGCUGUGCAGCCCGCGUGGACGCCCGAGUGGCGGGCCGACGGGCGCUCCCUCAGCCCGCCGUCGCCGCCUCAGCCGCAGCGCCGCACGGCUGCCCUCCCACCCCGGCCGCCGCCGCCCCAGACGCAGCCCUUGCGCCAGCAGACCGCUGGGUAUUCUCGGUACGCCUAUGACGACUUCUCCGAGGAGGAGUCGGACCGGGAAAUGGACCGCACGUCAGUUUCUAGCAAGGGGGGUGCAUCUACUUUAGAGAAUGUUGACGAAUGGAAAUGGAAACUGCACAUGCUUCUCCGUAACGACAAUGAACAAGAGAUUAUGUCGAGGGAGAAAAAGGACAGGCGUGAUUUUGAUCAACUUGCCCAACUGGCAGAUCGAAUGGGUUUGCACAGCCGUCAGUAUUCCCGAAUCAUCGUGUUUAGUAAGGUCCCCUUGCCUAAUUAUAGAUCAGACCUUGAUGACAAAAGACCUCAAAGAGAGGUAUCUAUACCUUCUGGCUUGCAAAGAGAAGUUGAUGCAUUGCUUGCAGACUAUCUUGCGCGGAAGAGAACAGACAGUGGGAACUUUCCUAAUGCUGCCUUCUCAAGGUCAAGCAGCACGGACAGUUUUGCGACUGAUGAAAGCUUCUAUGAGCAGCAGGAUAAUCAGACAUCAACCAAUGUUGUGAUGGAAAGAAUCCAAAGAAGGAAAAGCUUACAGUUGCGUAACCAGCAAGCUGCUUGGCAGGAAUCAAAUGAUGGUCAGAGCAUGAUGGAGUUUCGUCGAAGUCUUCCUGCCCAGAAAGAAAGGCAAUCACUAUUGGAAGCUAUAUCUCAGAAUCAGGUGGUUGUAGUUUCAGGUGAAACUGGCUGUGGUAAGACAACACAGUUGCCACAAUACAUUUUGGAAUCUGAAAUAGAAGCCGCUCGUGGUGCUACUUGCAGUAUCAUUUGCACUCAACCAAGACGAAUAUCAGCUAUUUCUGUUUCUGAAAGAGUUGCUGCUGAAAGAGGUGAAAAAAUUGGGGAAUCGGUUGGCUACAAAGUUCGGUUGGAAGGAAUGAGAGGAAGGGAUACACGCCUUCUGUUCUGCACUACUGGGGUCCUGUUGCGAAGAUUGCUGGUGGACAGAAGCUUGAAAGGUGUCACCCAUGUUAUUGUGGAUGAAAUUCAUGAACGGGGCAUGAAUGAAGAUUUUCUCCUUAUUGUCCUAAAGGACCUUCUUCCUCGCCGACCGGAGCUAAGGCUUGUAUUGAUGAGUGCGACCCUCAAUGCUGAGAUGUUCUCUUCAUACUUUGGUGGAGCACCCAUGAUACAUAUACCUGGUUUUACAUACCCUGUCCGGAGUCGUUUCCUAGAAGAUAUUCUUGAAGUUACUGGCCACAGAUUGACUCCGUACAAUCAGAUUGAUGACUAUGGCCAAGAGAAAAGUUGGAAGAUGCAAAAGCAAGGUCUACGGAAGAGAAAGAGCCAAAUUGCUUCUGUUGUGGAAGAUGCAGUUAAAGCUGCGGAUCUAAGGGAUUAUAGUCCGCAAACUCGUGACUCUCUAUCCUGCUGGAAUCCUGAUUCAAUUGGUUUUAACUUGAUAGAAAAUGUCUUGUGCCAUAUUUGUCAAAAGGAAAGAGAUGGUGCUGUGCUUGUAUUUAUGACUGGGUGGGAUGACAUUAAUACGCUAAAAGAUCAGCUACAAUCCAACCCAUUGCUUGGCGACCCUAGUAAAGUUUUGCUGCUUGCAUGUCAUGGUUCAAUGGCUAGCUCAGAGCAGAAACUAAUAUUUGACAAACCUGAGCCUGGUGUAAGGAAAAUAGUUCUUGCCACCAAUUUGGCUGAAACUAGUAUUACUAUCAAUGACGUAGUUUUUGUUGUUGAUUGUGGAAAAGCAAAAGAGACAUCUUAUGAUGCACUGAACAAUACUCCCUGUCUGCUUCCGACCUGGAUCUCCAAGGCUUCUGCUAGACAAAGACGAGGAAGAGCUGGCCGUGUUCAAUCAGGGGAAUGUUUCCAUCUCUAUCCACAGUGUGUAUAUAAUGUGUUCGCCGACUACCAGUUGCCGGAACUUUUGAGAACUCCUCUCCAAUCCCUUUGUUUGCAAAUAAAAAGUUUGCGGCUUGGGAGCAUCUCAGAAUUUUUAUCCAGAGCUUUGCAGUCACCUGAGUCUCUAUCGGUACAAAAUGCCAUCGAAUAUCUCAAAGUCAUUGGAGCAUUCGAUCAGAAUGAAGAGUUAACAGUUCUAGGAAAACACCUGUCUAUGCUUCCAGUUGAGCCUAAAUUAGGCAAGAUGCUUAUUUUUGGGGCUAUAUUUAAUUGCCUUGAUCCCAUAUUAACCAUUGUUGCUGGACUUAGCGUAAGAGAUCCAUUCAUGACACCAUUUGACAAGAAGGAUCUUGCAGAGUCUGCUAAGUUGCAGUUCUCAUGCCGUGACUAUAGUGACCACCUUGCGAUUGUUCGUGCUUAUGAUGGAUGGAGAGAUGCUGAAAGAGAUCGCAAUGGCUAUGACUACUGCUGGAGAAAUUUUCUGUCAGCGCAAACCUUGAAAGCCCUAGAUUCUCUCCGGAGGCAGUUCCUCUUUCUUUUAAAGGACACUGGCUUGAUUGAUGAAAACAUGACUAUGUGCAAUAAAUGGAGUCGCGAUGAAAAUCUUGUUCGGGCAAUCAUUUGUGCGGGUUUAUACCCAGGUGUUUCGUCUGUUGUGAACAAGGAGAAAUCAGUUUCUCUCAAGACAAUGGAGGAUGGGCAGGUUAUGCUUUACUCGAGCUCAGUGAAUGGGAAAGAAGCCAAGAUUCCAUUCCCCUGGCUAGUGUUCAAUGAGAAAGUGAAGGUGAAUUCAGUGUUUCUCCGGGAUUCAACAGCGAUAUCUGAUUCUAUAUUGCUGCUCUUUGGAGGAAACAUACAACAAGGAGGCUUGGACGGACACUUGAAAAUGCUCGGGGGAUAUCUGGAGUUCUUCAUGAGUCGCGAUCUUGCAUCGACUUACUUGAAUCUCAAGGGUGAACUUGAAAAUUUAAUCCACUGCAAGCUUCAAAACCCAAGGAUUGACAUCCAAACCAGCGAGGAGCUGCUGUCAGCCGUACGGCUGCUGGUCACGGAGGACCCAUGCAGCGGUCGGUUCGUCUACGGCCGUCAAGAACCAAGAUCAAAGAAAGCAAAGACGAUGAUCUCUUCCGCCUCGGUGGCCUCCAUGGACCGCGGAGGCGGAGGCGGGCACGGAGGGGACAACCCCAAGAACCAGCUGCAGACCCUCCUGACAAGGGCGGGGCACGACAACCCGUCCUACAAGACGAAGCAGAUCAAGAACACCCUCUUCAGGUCGACCGUGGAGUUCAACGGCAUGCAGUUUGUGGGGCAGCCGUGCGCCAACAAGAAGCUGGCGGAGAAGGACGCGGCGGGGGAGGCGAUCAGCUGGCUGACGGGCGGGGAGGCUCCUCCGGUGACGGCCAACGCGAGAGACCGGCAGGACGCCGACCACAUGUCCAUGCUGACGAAGCCGGCUCCACGCAGGAGGCGGCACCACCAUAGGAGGAGCUGA